Molecule: ribosomal RNA, 261 nt
Filed under: uncultured archaeon
Lineage: Archaea
Description: partial 16S ribosomal RNA
Rfam family: Archaeal small subunit ribosomal RNA
Source: RNAcentral
CAGCCGUAAACUAUGCGCGUUAGGUGUAUCGGUGACCACGAGUUACCGAGGUGCCGAAGGGAAACCGUGAAACGUGCCGCCUGGGAAGUACGGUCGCGAGGCUGAAACUUAAAGGAAUUGGCGGGGGAGCACCACAACAGGUGGAGCCUGCGGUUUAAUUGGACUCAACGCCGGGAAGCUCACCGGAUAGGACAGCAGAAUGAUUGCCGGGCUGAAGACCCUGCAUGACUAGCUGAGAGGAGGUGCAUGGCGUCAGUGACU